RNAcentral lists this ribosomal RNA (253 nucleotides) under uncultured bacterium. RNAcentral describes it as "partial 16S ribosomal RNA". It matches the Rfam family "Bacterial small subunit ribosomal RNA", at positions 524 to 776 of the family's 1533-position model. The record is from RNAcentral.
UACGUAGGGUGCGAGCGUUAAUCGGAAUUACUGGGCGUAAAGCGUGCGCAGGCGGUUUUGUAAGCCAGAUGUGAAAUCCCCGGGCUCAACCUGGAAAUGGCAUUUGGGACUGCAAGGCUGGAGUUUGGCAGAGGAGACUGGAAUUCCCGGUGUAGCAGUGAAAUGCGUAGAUAUCGGGAGGAAUACCGAUGGCGAAGGCAGGUCUCUGGGCUAUAACUGACGCUCAUGCACGAAAGCGUGGGGAGCAAACAGG